GAAGGGAAGAGGGUCUGGGGUGGGAGAUGGGGGAGGAGGAAGGAGGGGGGAGCGCCAAGCGCUCAUACAAAAUAUGGCCAAAAGGCUUAGCAUGCAUGGAAAAUUAUUGCUGUCGGAAGUUCCUAUUUACAGGGUCAACACCCUCCGUAAUUGCUUCUGCAACCCCUCUCCCUCCCCGGGUCCCUGCUGCCUCCCUUCCUGGGUGAGCCUGAGGCUGAGAAGCCCUAGAGAAGUGCUCCUGCUCCAGGGGCCCCUCCAGUCUCCACCCUCCUUUGUGGCUAAGGGGAGGAGAAGGGGAGGGUCGGAGAGUCCAGGACUCCUGCCCUCAGCUGGGCGCCUAGAGGUGGGGCAGACGCGUGUGCUUAAAGCAGAGGGGGCCAGGGCCGUGAGCGUGGAGGUGUGUGCUUCGGUCCUCGCCCGGGCAUGCAAAAGCGCGGCGGGGGAGGUAGUGGCGGCCAAUGUGGGGGCAGCUGGCAGCCCCGGCCCCUCUGCCCGGGAGAGUUGCAUAGACGUGUCCGGGAGGGAGCGCUCCUCCCUAAGGAGCGGAGUGGGCCAGAGGCCCCAGUGGGUCCGGGGCUCAGUCGGUCCCUGGAACCUGGGGUCUCUUGAGAAGAGGAAUGAACAGGAAGCAUAGAGGAGGCUCCUCUUCGGUCUCCUUGGAGUGGGAAUAGAAGGCUCAGGAGGGCGGGGACCUGCCCCAUGACUGGACCUCCUGAUAUCCCCCUACCCACCAGGUGAGGGUCAGCAGGCUAUCCUGCCCAUUCUCUUGCCCCCUUCCCCAGCAAGUUCAGGCUCUGAUGAGGGUGGGGCUUCUCCCUCACUCUCCCAAAUAGGGUAUGUUGUGGGGAGGGGGGGACAGCCCGCUAUGGCCUUUGCUGUCCCUCUCCUUGCCUGGCUCCCUGACCUCCCAGUCCAGCUGGGGAAGCCAGACCAUCCCUGGGUGAGGCCAAGAGAUUAAAUAGAAUAAUAAAUAGAUAAAUAAAUAAAUACACACAUAAAUAAACUGGAGAGGCCCAGCCGGAUGGGGAGAAGGGCAUUUGUGAGGUGCCCCAGACCUUCCCCCAACAAACAAGGAAGGUUACCUGUAGUCUUGGGGGUAGGGAAAGUGCUCAGAGAAUCUAGGGGGAGGCUGGAAGCCCAGGGAGGGGCUGUCCUGGGGUGAGAGAGGGGCUGCGUUAGGGCGCAGGGCCUUGAACUGCCCCUCAAGUCUGCCCCAGGCCAGGUGAACUCAGAGGGGUGAGAGCUGCUAGUGGGAUGAGGGGAUCUGGAAAGAGUAGGUGGUGGGAGAGGGUGAGAAGGCCCCCGAGGACCGAAGGGGGUGGUGGUGUUUGAGUGGCUAGACCUAAGGCCAGGGUAAUUAGUGGACAAGGGACAGACCGGGGACUCCAAGAGGGGUGAAGAUAAGAUCCCUAAGGCCUGCGUCCUGGUGUGGAUGGGGGAAUCCAUGGCAGGCAUGAGAAUCAAGGGUAGUUUUAGGCUUAAGAUUGGGGGUUCCAGUAGUGAAACUGUCUUGAGUCUCAGCUGAGAAGUUAGAGGAAAGGUUUGCAAGUUAGAAAGGGAGAGGUGCAGGGUCUGGGCGGGAGAAAAUUCCGGCUCUGCUACCUGGGAGAGGUGCAGACCUGGUGCCUGAGUUGGAAGCCUUGAGGGCGUGGACAGGGGUCAAGGUCUGAAUCUUAGUAGCCGGAAAGGAUGAUGAUGCAGGUCGGGAAGCACUGGGGAAAACAGUGCCAGAAGUGAGUCCUGGGCUUGGGAGUUGGAGAGAAAAGUUCCGGGCUAAUAGCCGGGUCCCCACGAGGGGCGCGGGUCUCAUAGUGGAGGUCCGGGGAGUGGCGGGCCCUGAGGAUGGGCAUGUCUUACAAGUUCCCUGGUGAUGCUGUUGCUGCCAGUCCUGGGAACCACUGCUCUGACAAUAACUGGGGCAGCUUGGUGUCCGUCAACCAGGGAAUGGUAAGCAAACUGGCUAACCCACAUUGUGGGAUGCUACACUGCAGUGCACAUGAGUGAACUAAUGAUACAUGCAACAACCUGGAAGAAUCUCAACGCAUGCUGAGCAAAACCAAACUGGACACAAAAAGUAACCUGCUGUAAUGAUGCCAUUGGUCCUAGAAUCUGCUGCAUUGCUGGUGCGGGUCGCCCCUGGCCUGGGCCGGCUGGCAGUCGAUGGAGGAGGCCAGCCUCACAGCUGACACUGUACGCAUCCUCUCCUCUCCCCCGCCCACCGAGCGCCUCCCAGACAACUACCCUCCAAAGUGGGGAGCAUCUUCAGCCUCACGGAAUUCUGAAGCAGAGUCUGAGAGCCAGAGAAUGGGAGAAUCGUGAAAUGUCACUGCUUUCAGGAAGCUCAUCUAUUCCUGUCAUUUUCCCAACUUAUUUGCUUAAUUAUUAGCAGUGGAACCCAGAACCCCCACUCACCUCACUUUCUUCCAAAAUAAUAAAUAAUGCGUUGAUUACAUUGAGAA
Camelus dromedarius (Arabian camel) is the source of this 2459-nucleotide long non-coding RNA. RefSeq lists it as uncharacterized. NCBI's taxonomy places the organism in Eukaryota, Metazoa, Chordata, Mammalia, Artiodactyla, Camelidae. The record is from RefSeq and is a predicted model, not a curated record. The transcript has 5 exons.